CGAGUGAAUGGUGCCAUUGCUCUCAGUUUACAACGUUGAACAACACUAUGAAUUUGACUCAUAUCUGGUUGAUAGCCCUUUGUUUUGGCGUUGCCAAACCCGAUAUCAAAAUGGUGGCACCUUAUGAACCUGGAAACGCUGGAGCUGAGCCUUGUCUCAGACUUUGUGUCGGAACUACAGGAAAGGGAACUACUACCUGGGAGAAGUAUUAUCACGAUGGUCUGCGUGUAGAUGUUGAUAUGACGUCAUGUGACUUCAGAACUGACAUUACACCGAUUGUAACAUCAGCGUUGAGUGGGGAGGGGAACCACUGGCUUGCCAGUGGGGGCUCUAACCCCUACUAUCUUACGGCUGAGAAGUUCAGGAUUUACGUCUUUUACGAUAUCAAAUAUGGAAAUAUACACGAUAUUUAUGGGCCCAAAAAGUGGAGAAUAGACUGGCAAGCUGUUGGAUAUACCUGCUAAAGAAAUUUGGGAUUCAACUAGUCGGGAAACAACAACGAGUCAUCUUAAUUCUGUAAUGGCAUUAUGACAUUUUCGUUCAGGCUCAA
Bolinopsis microptera is the source of this 550-nucleotide long non-coding RNA. RefSeq lists it as uncharacterized. The record is from RefSeq and is a predicted model, not a curated record. The transcript is spliced from 3 exons. Lineage: Eukaryota; Metazoa; Ctenophora; Tentaculata; Lobata; Bolinopsidae.